UACUCAUCAAGAGUUGGUGGAGGGACUGGCCCGAUGAAACCGCGGCAACCAUUUAGCAGUUUAUCUGCUAAAAACGGUGCCAAUUCCGGCGGCAAAACCGUAAGAUGGGAG
RNAcentral lists this non-coding RNA (111 nucleotides) under Sporomusa malonica. Its description in RNAcentral is "SAM-I sequence". It matches the Rfam family "SAM riboswitch aptamer (S box leader)". From Rfam's summary of the family: The SAM riboswitch is found upstream of a number of genes which code for proteins involved in methionine or cysteine biosynthesis in Gram-positive bacteria. Lineage: Bacteria; Bacillati; Bacillota; Negativicutes; Selenomonadales; Sporomusaceae. The record is from Rfam by way of RNAcentral.